CAGCACUGCACCGCGUCAUAUUUUGGCAAUAGUAAACCGCUGUGAGCUUCUGCUCCAUUUUUUGGACCAUUGGCUAUGCUUUUAAUGUUCGAUCGAGUGUUUUUGUAGGAAAAAAAGACUGAAUAACAUAUCCCCAGUUGGGGCAUUAACGGAUUAGGAAUGUGCGGUUGAUUUUUCCGCCCAUCUUUUGUCCUAUGACAUUCAAUAAAAUCGAGGGGAAUUAAAGGAAUUGAUACACGAUUAGUCUCAGUUAACAAUUUACUUACCAUGGAGGAGACAAUGAAGAAGGAUAGACGAGAUUUCCUGCGGCAAAGACAAGCAUACAUCGUUUACAACCCUGGAUGAAUACUAAAAGUAAUUUUCGAAUUCCUAUUUCAGACGACUGGAACAUCAUUAAGCCUCCUGUCUUUGGGAAGAAGGUCAUAUUAUCACUUCCUCAGAGGAUCCUAAAUGUUGACCUCUCAAGUUAUUCUGAAUUAUUUGAGGGUAACUUUGGAAGUAAAAUUUCUAAAAAAUUGUCUCUGAAAAUCAUACUGAAAUCACUCAAAAUCGCACAAAACGUAAAUACGUAAUGUCCUCUUAGAGUUAUUUUUUUUACAAAAACAAAAAAAAAUAAACUUUGGAAGUGAACCUGAAGAGAUUUAAAAUCGCCUGAAGCGUGGAGAUUAAUUAUCCGCAGGAAGCGGCCAAACGAUUUUUUGUUUCACGCAAGAGGCUAGGCUGCAAUUCCCUGACAACGUAGAUAAAACCUUUUGGUUGAAUCUUCGCAGACCCGGAUACAGUCUGAACCGCAGUAGAGUGGCCAUCAUAUAAUAGCCAAUUUGCUAAUGUCCAACAAUAUCCAACGUAUCUGUCUUCAGUGUAAGCAAUUAUUCCCGCUAAUAUGUUGACAUUUUAUUUAUAAAAAAAAGUUAGUUAAUCAUUCAAUAAACACCACGAAUUAUUAUUAGUAUUAUUGUAUAUUGAGGGUGAUCAACAUGCGCUGAAAUAAAUGAUUUUAAAGUUUGUCUAUAUUAAUCAUUUCGAUCAGCAACUAAUAUUGUUGGACAAUUUUUUAAAAAUCGA
Molecule: long non-coding RNA, 1065 nt
Organism: Diachasmimorpha longicaudata
Lineage: Eukaryota; Metazoa; Arthropoda; Insecta; Hymenoptera; Braconidae
Exons: 3
Source: RefSeq, a predicted model, not a curated record